UACAGAGGUCUCAAGCGUUGUUCGGAUUCAUUGGGCGUAAAGGGUGCGUAGGCGGCGCGGUAAGUCGGGUGUGAAAUCUUGGAGCUUAACUCCGAAACUGCAUUCGAUAUUGCCGUGCUUGAGGACUGGAGAGGAGACUGGAAUUUACGGUGUAGCGGUGAAAUGCGUAGAUAUCGUAAGGAAGACCAGUGGCGAAGGCGGGUCUCUGGACUGGUCCUGACACUCAUGAGCGAAAGCGUGGGGAGCGAUCCGG
RNAcentral lists this ribosomal RNA (253 nucleotides) under uncultured bacterium. RNAcentral's name for it is "partial 16S ribosomal RNA". It matches the Rfam family "Bacterial small subunit ribosomal RNA", at positions 524 to 776 of the family's 1533-position model. The record is from RNAcentral.